Molecule: non-coding RNA, 78 nt
Filed under: unclassified sequences
Description: skipping-rope RNA
Rfam family: skipping-rope RNA
About the family: Firmicutes, Fusobacteria, AlphaProteobacteria, Spirochaetes. Downstream gene
Source: Rfam by way of RNAcentral
AGUCGACGAGGACGGAACAGGCAGCCGUCGCACCCUAGCGGUUUUAAAGAGAUGUGGGCGGGUCAUCCCACCGGGGCU